AGAGUUCGAUCCUGGCUCAGGAUGAACGCUGGCGGCGCGCCUAACACAUGCAAGUCGAACGAUUAAAGCACCUUCGGGUGUGUAUAAAGUGGCGAACGGCUGAGUAACACGUGGGCAACCUGCCCCUCUCAUUGGGAUAGCCACGGGAAACCGUGGAUAAUACCGAAUACUUCGAGACCUCCGCAUGGAAGACUCGAGAAAGCUCCGGCGGAGAGGGAUGGGCCCGCGGCCUGUUAGCUUGUUGGUGGGGUAACGGCCUACCAAGGCAAUGAUGGGUAGCUGGGUUGAGAGACCGACCAGCCAGAUUGGGACUGAGACACGGCCCAGACUCCUACGGGAGGCAGCAGUGGGGAAUCUUGCACAAUGGGCGAAAGCCUGAUGCAGCGACGCCGCGUGCGGGAUGAAGGCCUUCGGGUUGUAAACCGCUUUCAGCAGGGACGAGGCGAAAGUGACGGUACCUGCAGAAGAAGCCCCGGCUAACUACGUGCCAGCAGCCGCGGUAAUACGUAGGGGGCAAGCGUUAUCCGGAUUCAUUGGGCGUAAAGCGCUCGUAGGCGGUCUGUUAGGUCGGGAGUUAAAUCCGGGGGCUCAACCCCCGCUCGCUCCCGAUACCGGCAGACUUGAGUUUGGUAGGGGAAGGUGGAAUUCCUAGUGUAGCGGUGGAAUGCGCAGAUAUUAGGAAGAACACCAGUGGCGAAGGCGGCCUUCUGGGCCAUAACUGACGCUGAGGAGCGAAAGCUAGGGGAGCAAACAGGAUUAGAUACCCUGGUAGUCCUAGCCGUAAACGAUGGACACUAGGUGUGGGGGAAUAUUUCUUCCGUGCCGCAGCUAACGCAUUAAGUGUCCCGCCUGGGGAGUACGGCCGCAAGGCUAAAACUCAA
Molecule: ribosomal RNA, 881 nt
Filed under: metagenome
Description: bacterial SSU rRNA
Rfam family: Bacterial small subunit ribosomal RNA
Source: RNAcentral